UUGACAACCCUGCAAAAAAGUCUUCAAUUUAUCCAGAACAGGUAAAUGCUGGACAACAGCACUGCAAGCUUCUCCCCAGUGCUCACAAACCUGAACGUAGGAGACUGAGGGGUUUCUCAAGGGUGAGAAGACAGCUUAUUCUUUAUGUCCCACUUGGGCCAGC
Molecule: small RNA, 163 nt
Filed under: Gopherus agassizii (Agassiz's desert tortoise)
Lineage: Eukaryota; Metazoa; Chordata; Testudines; Testudinidae
Description: TUC338 (ENSGAGG00000003570.1)
Source: RNAcentral